GUCGGUUUUGGAGCCGGCAUCUUCUACGGCGAGGAGUCUGCAAGUUUGGAGCUCUGGGGUUAGAGGAGGUGAAGGGAUGAACCACGUCGGAGAUGCUGAUGGCCGUGUUCGUUCAUCCACGAUUUCUUGCCGUCUUUCAAUGUUUGAAGUCAGAUCUGCGCUGUGGGGGAAAGAGGAAGUAGGUUUGGAACUCAGAUUCGUGCAUCAGCAACCGGACGGCCGUCGCCGCCUCGAUUGGAGGAGGAAAACGAACAGUAUCGUCAGCAAGGACCUAGUUGUAAUUUCUAUUUCUUUUAGGGCCUUUCCUGCAAGAAAGGGUUGUGCUGUGCUGCCACUUUUCUUAAUAUAGUUACUCCCUUUUCUCGCAAAAAAAAAGGUAGUGUGUUGUGUCCAUACAUAUUGUCACGUUAAGAGGCUAAAGUUGUAUACCCUCACUGUAAGAAUAGCUUUCCCUAUUUUGUCAAGUUUUAGGCCGGGA
Molecule: long non-coding RNA, 478 nt
Organism: Panicum virgatum (switchgrass)
Lineage: Eukaryota; Viridiplantae; Streptophyta; Magnoliopsida; Poales; Poaceae
Exons: 2
Source: RefSeq, a predicted model, not a curated record